CGCACCUUGCGCUCCUUGGUAUUCCGAGGAGCACGCCUGUUCGAGUGUCGUGAAUAUCUCAAGCUCUAGCACUUUGUUGAGUUAGGGUUUGGACUUGGGCUUUGCCGUGCUGUUAAUGUGCGGCUAGUCUCAAAUGUAUUAGCUGAUCCAUGCUUGCAUGUUUGGUUCUACUCGGCGUGAUAAUUCUCUGACCGCUGAGGACAUUUGCAUUGCUGCAAAUGGCCUAAUAUGCCUUAGAUUGCUUCUAAUCUGUUUGCCUUGUGCAACAACCUUUCAAUUUUGACCUCGAAUCAGGUGGGACUACCCGCUGAACUUAA
This 317-nucleotide unclassified non-coding RNA is filed under the name Sistotrema sp. Its description in RNAcentral is "partial contains 5.8S ribosomal RNA, internal transcribed spacer 2, and large subunit ribosomal RNA". Lineage: Eukaryota; Fungi; Basidiomycota; Agaricomycetes; Cantharellales; Hydnaceae. The record is from RNAcentral.